Molecule: non-coding RNA, 388 nt
Organism: Xyrichtys novacula (pearly razorfish)
Lineage: Eukaryota; Metazoa; Chordata; Actinopteri; Labriformes; Labridae
Source: the annotation of a GenBank genome assembly
GGGGGUAAUGUGUGGGGGGGCGCAGGGGAGUGAGAAGAGGAGAGAUGACAGGAGGCAGAGAAGGGGAGGUGAGUUGAGAGGAGGGAGGGAGGGAGGGAGAGGAGAAUCUGUUUCUGGGACGGCCAAAGCAGUGAAAUGCUGCAGUGAAGUCACAUAGCUGAGCCGGUCCGAACACAGCUACUGAGCUCUCCUUUCACUCUCUCUCCUCAAACCUUCAUUUUUUCCCACCUCCCACUCUGAUUAACCUUCUUCUCACCCCACACUCCGACCUGCUCCAUCCACUUCUCUCUCUUCCUUUAUUUCUCUCUCUCUCUUUCUCCCUCUCUCUCUUUCUGUCUCUUCCCCUCCCUCUCUCAUCCUUCCUCUCUGUCUUUGCACCAGCCGGUGA